Molecule: long non-coding RNA, 19459 nt
Filed under: Eucalyptus grandis
Lineage: Eukaryota; Viridiplantae; Streptophyta; Magnoliopsida; Myrtales; Myrtaceae
Description: long non-coding RNA (EGRA_LNC000764)
Source: RNAcentral
UAGAUUUUAAUGUGUAUAACAGUUUGCUCAGAAAUGAGAAGAUUGUGAGUGUGGGAAUAAGUACUUUGCAUCGGUAAAUGCAGACAGAAAGUUAAAACCGAGUUCAUUCCACUUCUGGCAAAUGCUACAAAAGAAAUUUUUGCAUGUCAGAAUCAGAGAAAUAAGGGAAAUUAGUCAGGUAAAUUCCACGACUUAGUAAAUGUGUUCAAAUGGAGGUUGAGGAUUUAAAGCAUCUAACUGGCAUUAACACGAAAAGAACUUGUUUUAUCCAUCUGAAGUUCUGAGCUACACUUUUUCAAGGAGACGAAACUUUCAAACAUUUUCAAACUUGUCUUUGCUAUUAAUUAUGUCCAGACUUUAGAUUCAUCUAAUGGAUUGAACAUCAGGAUAAAACAGACACUUACUGAACAGGGAAAGAUAACAUAUGUACACACCUAUCCCCGUGAGUAAUUUGAGAACCAACUAAUCACGAAAAAGUCCAGAUCUUAAGAACAGAGCCUGCAGUAGCAUGUCCCUUCUUCUCUACAACAAGGAGCAAUCUCACAUCCAAGGUCCCCCUUCAGCAUCUUCUCCCAGGCUAAAUACCGGUGAGGCAAUGGUGAAGGAAAGGGUAUAUAGACCUUUCUAUAGGUCACUGGGUCAUACCAACAAACUUCACCCAUGGAAUUCCAAUGUCAUCUGAAAGGGAAGCAAGAUUUAGAGAAUCGAUGAAUGAGAGAGAGCAUAGUGAUGACCAAAGAAUUGGUUGAUGAGUAAGAGAACUGCUAAUAAGCUGAGAAUUCCAAAUUCAAAUGCGACAGUCUGUUAAUAAGAUCCCAGAUUUUUAUUUCAUUUUUGCUGGCUCGAAGAUAUCAUGGGAAGCAGUCCAAUGGAUGGGGAACCGAUGCAGAAUCUGAGAAGGUAACUAUGAGUAGAAGAGUAGAGGAGUAGUAAAUGGCAAGAUCAAUACCUUGAUUUUAAUUAAAUCUUCAUGAGAUGGAGACGGUGAUGUAGGUGAGGACAACGAAGUGGAGAGGCAAAGCAUAGGUAGGUGAUUGAGGUGUAGACCACAUGGGGAAGGAGAUGAUGAAAGAGGUAUUUUUUACACCCCUAAGUUAUGCCCAAAAGCCAUCUGCAAAAGAUUAAGACACUUAUUAAGUACACAUAUAAUUUAGGAUUACAAUUAGGGAAUUAUCUCAGUACAAGUUUUACUUUUAGGUCCAAAUUUUAUAACUAUGAAAGUUUUAAUGCAACCACGCAUAAGAGUAACAUCAUUUCUACCGAGGUGUGACUGUAAAUCUAUUUCCCAAGAGCUGCCGUAAACAAGUCCAUCCUUCACAUAGCUGAAAUGGAGUGGCUAUAAGUCUUGGACAUGUUAUGUAUAUAUAUCCAAGACAAAGCGAACUUAAAUAACAUUCGCCUCACCAGAAGUUGUCUGCUGUGAUACCAAUCAGCUUUUCACUCGGAGAUGAUGAUUUACAUGCAGAUUGCUUGAAUAUAGUAACCUGCAAAUGCAAAAAGAAACCUAGCCAUGAAUUCUGAACAUCUGUCCCGAGUCUUCAUCAAAUGGGGAGGGAAUAACAUAUCCUAGAAGUACAAUGAUGCAUAAGACAAUCAAUUCCUUGAACCAUAAGCAGUUAAAUCUCAAUGCUCAAUCAUAUAUUUUGAAGCUAGAGACUUCGCCCAUCCAUUGGCAAGGAUUUUAUAAUUAUCGAAAGUGCAAGAGGGCUCGAGGCAAAGUGAGAACUUUUUCACGUAGCAUGCAUAGGAAGUACUAAUUCUAUCAAUUAAUGACAAUCUGCAUAUGUUUUGAAUAAUCAUAAGACUGGAAGAUUCCAAGUCACGUAGCCGUAAUUGAUUAACACCUAUUACUCUGCAUAUAUACUCUAAGUUCACAAAACUACAUAGAAUGUGUAUAAGACUCCCUUAACAACAACCAUCUUCUAUAUGGGAUCCAAAAAUAGUAUGUAGAGAUUGACGGUGAUUUAAAAGACCUUGUUUUGCUCUGCCCAGUCCUUUGACUAUGAUGAGUAUGAAACAAGAUGCCAGACAUAUGCAGACACGCCUUCAGGAAAUUUAAUCACUGAUAAAAAGGAACAGAUCAAGGUUCCAAUACAUUGAGAGCCACAGCACCUCCAGGCUUUAAAAGUCGAAAACAUGUAAAUAUCCGCAUCGCUCAAAACAGUCAACUUUCCCUUCAAUGGUCCUGAAUAAAUAGGCAAAGGAGAAAAGGCUUCAUAAGUUGGAUUUUCUUGUCAAAGACGUAGGGCUGCUUCUUGGAAGAGGUCUUCAUUGGCAAACUUGCUUUUUUAAAAGUAAGCCCAAGAACAAAUACCACCAACCAUCCCAAAUAAAUUCUUUAUUGGAAUGCUGGUAUCAUGGCGAAUAACUACAAGAAAUAGUUCAAAUUUGGAGGAGAAACGAUUAAGUGACUGUUCUUAAUCUACUAUUAGAUUAACAGACUGUUUUUUACCACCAAAAAAAAAAAAAAAAACAAAACAAAACAAAUAAUUGUAAAUUGUUGUAAGAUCCACUUCUUUAGGAAUUUGUAACUCAUAACAUGCCGUUACUUUGGUAGUAGUCCAAAGACCAUUACACUAGCAAAGCCCAAUUUGGAGGUGAUAUUUCCUACGGACAUAACUAAGCGAAAUUACCAUGAAUGCUCAAAAAAAAAAAAAAAACUAUCUUACUAGUGGGAUAGUUUUUGCAAAGUUCUGUUCCAAGCAAGACAUAACCUACGAUGCUUAUAAGUGCCAAUCUUGUUUUACAGACCAAGACAACUCUCAAAAUUAUGCUUAAAAAAGAACCUGAUAAUUCUGAUUAUAUUAAACUUCAAGAAUAAGAUGACAGUGAGAUUCAAUGAUUUAGUUUGACAGAACAAAGCUGCACUACCUUGCUCCACAGUUGAUUAAAGAAACUACACUUAAAAAAGAGAUGACACCAAGAUAUAGUGCUUAGAUUACAGAACCAGCAAAAAAAUCUAGUAUUCCCAACAGACCAACUGUUAAUCCUCUGAAAAGUGGGAAGUUUAUCAUGUAUUACCAACCAAGAAAUAAGGCCAAACCUGGCACAUUAGGGGAGCACUCUCAUUUCUGACAAUUUGUUGAGCAACGAAAAGGCAACCAUUUGAAGAAGCUGUGCAUAUGACUCUUUCUGCAGCUGAGGAAAUAGGAAAAAUCACACCACAAACUGCAGCUUAGGUGGAAACCAACUCUUCAGACCUAGCAGCUGGCGACUUCCAAUGAGAGUUACGAAUUACAGCAGAUCCUUUGGCCUGCAGAGGAAGAGAAGAGUCAUGAAUCAUUCUCCCUGAGAAAUGAUUCCGGCAAGGUCCCAGCAUGAUAUGCCGAAUCAUACCAAGAGAUAUUAUCUCCAUACCCACUAUGUAUCUAAUGUGUUCCAAGCAUAAGUAGCAUCUGGUUAACAAUCAAGAUGAUAGCUAUAGAGCCAGGCAAAACAUAGAGAUCCACACCUCAAGAAAAUACUCUACAGACUGUUCAGAACACAAGCAAGAUUUUACAAAUCCAGUCUUCCAAUGCCAAGGCCGCCAAACUGCUUAGGAAGACAAACAGUGUCCCAUCUAAGUUUUGCUCCCUCUUUAGUAUCAGGAUCUCCCUUCCAAAAGAAAGCUCUACACAUUUAGUAAACCGUAUUGAUAACUUUCUUGAGCAACGAAAGAGUUGAUUCUAAUAGUUAACCAGACUGAACAACGAAUUUAAUAAGCCAUAGUCCCCCAGCAUAUGGGAGUUUUUUAGGGCCCGUUUGUUUAUGUUUCUUUUUUCUGUUUUUAAACACUUUUUAUGUUUUUUUGUUCUUUUGUUCCUAAGAAACAGAAACAAGAAACACUUGUUUCUGAAACACUUUUGAGAAACACUUUUUUUUUUUCUUUUUUCUCUUAUUUUCUUGUUCUUUUUUCUUUUGGCCGGUCGCCGGCCCCCGGCGAGGCCGAGGCUCGCCGGCCGCUGGGCGAGGUCGGCCUCGCCGGAUCUGUGCGAGCUCGCCCAGCCAUGGCGAGGCCGACCUCGCGCCUUUUUAUGUAAACUAGAAUCACGUUGUUCCUAUAUCGAUCGGACGUUCGCCUGCUCCCGGCGAGCCUCGGCCUCGCUGGAUCUGGGCGAGUCGGCGUCGCCUGGCGGUGGCCCGGCGAGGCCGCGCCUCGCCCCGCAGCUGGGCGAGGUCGGCCAAAAGAAGAAAAAUGAAAAAAUGAAAAAGAAAAAAGAAAAAAAGGAAACAUAAAAAAAAAAUAAAAAAAUUAUCCAAAUUUACCAAACAUGUUUCUGUUUAUUUUUUAUUCCCAGAACAAGUUUAGCAAACGCGUUUUUUUGUUCAAAAAUUGUUCCCCGGAACAGAAACACUUUUUCUUAUUUCUGUUCCCUGGAACAAUUUUUAAACAGAAAUGCAAACAAACGCAUCCUUAACUUUCCAAGCUUUAGCGCUUGUUGCAAUUCGAUCAUUUUAUGACUGGCCUAUAGCCCUUCUCUGAAAUUCAUCCAGACGAUCCAAAAUUACAAGAAGUAAAAACCAAACAAGAACCUAGGGUUGGCAGAUUGAUCAUGCUGCUUGAUAUGAUCCCUGUACGAAUUUCCUAAAAGCUUGAGUUGUUAGAAAACUUGCCAAAAAAUGUAUGUAUAAUGUACAACUCAACACUCCUCCUCGGGUAGAACCUAUCCCUUAACACAUGAGAGAAUGUGGACAUAAUCACAUAAAUGAAAUACCCAGGGAACAUGAUAACAGACAACAAUACAGACAUUGACAUGUCCCCUAAUACAAUUCUAUAUAUGAACAGGUAGAAUGCAGACAAUUUGGCAGAAAUUUUAUAAUAACAAGUACAAUGCAGAGAAUUUGCUAAUCCUUCAGAAGAGACUCUUUCUAGAUUCUGAUUACACCCCAUGAUCAUAACCCGCAUCCUGCAAACAGCCUGUCAAAAGAAAUAGUGGAAAAAAACCUACUCACCCUUUAAACUUUGCCAACCAGCAACUGCAGCGCUAUGCAACUUUGAUUCCAGGAAGCAGACUAGAAAUAGUUAUCAAAAUGAACAACAAGCAAAGAUUUCAUUGUGUGCUGUCCAGGAUGAGAAAUGCCUUCAUUUGCAUCUGCACUUAAACCGACUAAACCAUUCCCAAAUCUUGGAUGGUGAGUAAACUGCUGGAAUGGAAGGGUUGAGGCACAAUAAAUCUGUUUCCCACAUAGAUCUUGAUGUGCAUCACAGUAUGCUCAGAAAUAAAGAUCGCAGGUGUGGGAAUAAGUAUGUUGUAUUUGUAAAUGCAAACUGAAAGUUAAUACUGAGUUUCUUGCACUUCUGGUGAACGCUGCAAAAGUAAUUUUCGCAUAUCAGAAUUAGAUAUAAGGAACAGUAGUCAAAUACGUUGCACAACUUAGUAAAUUUGUUCAAAUGAAGUCUCCAGACUAAAACAGGAAACGAAAUUUAAAGCACCGAUCUGCCAUUAACGUGACAUGAACUUGCUCUAUUCAUCUGAAGUUCUGAACCACUCCUUUCCAAUGUGAUGCAACUUUCAAACAUUUUUAAACUCAUCUUUGCUAUUUACAUAUCACACAAGUUAAGUCCAGGCUUCACAUUCAUCUAGUGGAUUGCACUUUAAGGAAUCACAGACACUUAUCGAAGGGGGAAAGAGAACAUACCUAUCCUCAUGAGAAAUUCGAGAACCAAGAGAUCAUGGAAAAGUUUGCACAAAAGUCGAGAUCUUAACAAAAAAGCCUGCAGUGGCAUGUCCCUUCGACCCUACAAUGAGAAGCAGACUCACGUCCAAGGUCCCUUCAGCAACUUCUCCUAGACUUACUGGUAAGGCGAUGGUGAAGGAAGGGUAAAUAGACCUUUCCAUAGGUCACUGAGUAAAUUCACCAAUUGAACUCCAAUGAAAUCUGCAACGCAAACAAGACUGAGAGAAUAUUGGCGAAUGAGACAGAGCACAGCGAUAACAAACGAAUUGAAUGAGCAUACAACAAACAGCUAGUGUGCGAAAAAUAACCUGAGAAAUCCAAAUUCAAACNNNNNNNNNNNNNNNNNNNNNNNNNNNNNNNNNNNNNNNNNNNNNNNNNNNNNNNNNNNNNNNNNNNNNNNNNNNNNNNNNNNNNNNNNNNNNNNNNNNNAAUCUGGGUAGACUUCAAGUAGGAGAGUAGAGCAGGAGAAGGAAACGGCGGCAUGAUUCCUGAUUUUGACGAGAGCAAAUGCACGUCCGGAGUCAUGUCGCGAGAAUGACUUUGGAAGAAGGCAUUCAGACAAUUCCAACGCCAUCUCCGGAGGAACCGUAGAGGGUUCAUCGCACCCACCACGAUCACAGCUACUAAGCAGAGAGGGCACCAAAGCGAACAAUCCCUCAAGUAAUAUUCGAGUCCAAAUCCUUUUAAGUAAUUGGCAUGCAAUUCAACCUAAUUUCUGGGAUUUCGCGGAUGAGGGGCCAAUAGCAGCCGGUCCCUUUCUUGCAUCGCUCCUCCAGAAUCUCACAAAUUUCGAUACGGAGUCGUAAUAGGGAGGGAGGGAGGUCAUCCAGAGGCAACUCCCUCAGCUUCGGGCAAUUCUGGAUAGUUAAGCUCUGGAGAGACGAAGGGAGAUUGCUAGACAGUCUUUCCACGUUUUCCAUAUUAAUGAUCCACAGACGGUGCAAAGAGGGAAGGGGUGGAAGCGCAAGAUCCUCCUCCUUCCCCACUCCUCCAGUGUAGCCGUCGAUCCACAGAUCUUGAAGGGAGGUGAGGGGGGUAAGCCACUCCUCAACCGGCUGCUUCAUAUUCCCGCGUAUCUUUACCCAGAGUACUCGUAGCUGGGGUGGCAAUCCUCCGUCGGGAAACGGCAUAACGUCACAACUAAAAUCAUGGAGACAUGUGAGUUGAUUCAACUGAUUAGGUAACGCUUUUAUAUUCGGACAAUCCUCAAGAUAAAAAGUCGAGAUGCUUGGAGGAAGAGGAGGAAAGCACUCUAGCUCCAGAGCAGGACAGCUUCUCAAUUUCAAGGAAGUGAGAUGGGACAGUGUGUGCAGGCCUUGAGGUAAGCUUCUCAAAUUUUUGCAAUUCCAAAUUUCAAUCACUUGAAGUGACUGACGACCAUCUAGAAUUAUCUCCGCGAGCGACUUCACUCCCGGGCACCCAUCAAUUACAAGUCUCUUGAGGGUCACAGGUAAAAAUCUACCCUCACUAAAUGGAAAUGCUAGUAGAGACUUGCAUCCGUAGAUUAUUAAUUCUUGUAGACAAGACGUCAUGCCAACAUGGUUAAUGCUGCUGCUUGGUCCUUCCAGAUGAAUACUUAAUCCAGUGGGUAGAGAUUGUGACAUAUCAUAGCCACUGAUAUUUGAUGAUAUCAUUGAUGUCCAUAUGCCUGUUUCUAGAAAGGACACCAGUUUUGGACAGCAAUUGAUUUGCAAGUAUCUAAGAGAGGAGAGGGUGUGCAUCUUGCUUGGGAGCUUCUCUAAAUUGAGGCAAUAUCGCAAGUGGAUAGUUUCAAGUCUGCUGGGCAGCUUUAUAUCUCCUUCUCCAACCACAAAAGACAUUAAUUUAGGACAAUCCCAUACAUAUAAGCUUUUUAGACAACCAAGCUUCUCAACUACAUCUCUGUCUUCCCACAAGAACAUUAACUUGUUACAAUCUCUCAUCUCCAACUUCUCUAGUUUGAUCAAGAAGCUUGUAAACUCACGAUUUAAGCAAGUCAAUUCAGCAGUUUUUUUUAUGACAAGAGUGGUUAGAGAUGUCAGGUUUACCAAACUCUUCAACACCCCCUCAUUACAACCUUCAAAUUCUAACUCAUUGAGAGAUGGAAGGCUAAUAAUGUCAGAGUGCGAGGCAUCCAUACGCGGACAGGAGUUUAUUUCAAGCUUUAUGAGGGAGCUUAGUUCACUAGGCAAUCUUUUUAUCAACAUAGGACAAUCCCAAAGAAUGAGAUGCUCAAGACUGGGGAAUACAACUCCUCCUUCAGAGCCAACACAAUGAGACCAGUCCUCCCACAAUGGCAUGUUCCUAAAUUCCAAAGUUGUCAAGGAUGGAAAAGGACUUUCGGCUCCAUAAAAUUCAAAACCUAUCCUACGAAUCGCAUCUAGACCUUCGAUGUGCAGUUCUUUCAGCAAAGAUAGCCGCCCAAGUGAUGGUAAUGCUUUGGCCCUACGACACUCGUGUAAAUGUAAAUGCACUAUGUGAACAUGUGAGGGAUUUCCUAACCACGACGUUAAUUCUAUGCCACCAUAGAAGGAUAUCACGAGAUUUUCAACGUUUUGGUGUGGCUGAAGAAAGUCAAGGACCUUUGCUUCAAGCUCUUCAUCCCGGGAAUUUUCAAAAUCUUUACUCCACUGCAAGGUCAACCGACAUAUUCCCUCCUUUGUGAGUAAAUCGACGUCCUUGGCAUCUCCGGCGUCUUGAACCUUAUGCAAAUCAAAGAUGCACAAUUCCUCUCGAAGGUUCUUUAGUUUUUUUAACUCCUUCAACCUCAACUCAGUUUCCGUUCCCACUAUAAACUUGGACAGCAUCUCAAGACCCACCAAAUUAGCUAUAUACAGUGGCACCGCUCUUAGGCUCGGAGUGUCGGUAAUGUCGAGAAAUCUUAUGUUGAUAAGUUUCUCCAUAUCUUCAGGUAAUUCGAUAAGACUUUCACAGCCUCGCAACAUCAAAGUCUCGAGGUUAUACAGUCCAACAAUUGACUUUGGAAGCCUUGCAAUAUUAGUAUAUGAUAGAUUAAGGUGCCUUAGGUGCCUUACAUCACCAAUGCAAUCUGGUACCUCGCUGAUGUUGUAGUGACUUAAUGAAAGCACCCUCAAGUACUUCAAUUUUGACAGCAAGUCACAUAGCACUUUCUGGGACAAAAAGGACCUCUCCCAAGGGUGAGAAGGGUUAGAAUGCUUCCCUAAUGAUAUGAAGCUCCUAAGUCUCUUCAUUUGAUGAUAUAUUUUGAAUCUUUCUGGCACGAUGUGACGACUAGGAAUGAACGAGGCGUGACGGACUAAAGAUGCAUUAUUUUGAUCACCUUCAAACUCAAACUCGCUUGGGCCAUAAUGGGUUGCACCUGCAACUAGCUUUGCUAGGUCAUUCACAAGAUCAUGCAUCAAAAAUCGUGAUCCAUCACUACUCGACUUUUGAAAUAACGAUCUAGAUUCUAGCUCGUUGAAAUAAUUCAAACCUAAAUUCCAACGGUUCUUUCCUCCUUUUCCCUCCAAUAAGCCCUCUGCACUCCACCAAUGAAUCAACUCAUCAUGUUUGAUUUCAUAAUCCUUGGGAAAUAUAGCACAGUACGCGAAACAUCUCCUCAAAUGAGAAGGGAGAUGGAGGUAGCUAAGUUUCAAAGCUGGAAGGAUGUCAUUUCUUCCUUCUGAUAGAUUCCAAAUCUUGCUGUUCAAUAUAUCUUCCCAAUCACGGGGAUUGACUUUAGUGCGUAGCAGCCCGGCCACUGUCUUCACGGCUAAUGGCAAUCCUUUGCAUUUUUCCACUAUUUGGUGACCUAAUGCUUCAAAGCGAGGAUGGUGAUUUGAAUUUCGAAUUCCAAAAGCAUGAAAUGCGAACAAAGUCAUGCAAUCAUCUAAUGACAUUAGUUUGAGAGUUAUCAGUCGAGCAUCGGCCAUUAAAGCAACCUUGCGGUUACGAGUCGUGACAAUGAUCUUGUUUCCUUUUACUCCCGAUUCGAAAGGCUUCAAAAGGACAAUCCAUUCUCCAUAAUUCUCGUUCCAAACAUCGUCUAAAAUGAAAAGAAACUUCUUCCCUGAAAGGAUUUCCUUGAGCUUUUCCUGACACCAAUCCAGGUCUUUAUCUUGACAGGACAAAGUGGAGUUGGUUUUUUGUAGGAUACACUUUGUAAUAGCAUGCACGUCAAAAUCAUCAGAAACACAAACCCAUACUUUCACAUCGAAAUAGUGGGUCACUCCAGCAUCAUUGUAGAUCUGCUGAGCUAGAGUCGUCUUCCCAACACCCCCCAUCCCUACGAUGGCAAUCACUUCUAGAUCCGCACAUGUUCUAUCAUCUUCUUCUCUAACCAGUAAUUUGAGGAUCUCCCUCUUUUCAUCCUCCCUACUAACGAAACAGGGCUCGCGCAGAUUCGUAGUGGGAAUCGGCUUAUCUAACUGGCGGUAUGCUAAUCGCUCCCCCUCGUUCUUUCUCAGGCCCAGACCAUUUUUACGAGCUAUGAUCUCCCCUAAUCGGGCAUCCAGUUCCACCAUCUCAGAUCUCAUUUUAUGGUUGAACAUCAAUGCUCUUGGGCUCAUUGUGAAGCAACAACUGGGAAGAAGGGAAUGCACCUUGCUAGUGCCAAAUUCUGCCUUGAACUUGCUUUUAGUAGAUUCUAUCGUGAACUCUUCAAGCAAGUCUUCAAUGUCGUAGGCCAAGUUCUCGAGAUCUUCAAGCCACGACUUCACGUCAUGAUAGCCAGUGAGUUGUUUGUCCUCUGCAUCAUUCAACACUUCAUUGAUACUCUUCAGCAUCUUCUCCCAUUUCUUAAAUAGCUUAUCAAUCCUCUCACGCUGCGCAAAUUUGGACAGCUCGUGAGAGGCCAACCUCUCGAACAGCACUUGAAGAAAGGCACCAAGAAAGAGCUCUGCGAUGGGCAUGGCUUGGUUUAUGAGUGGCAGAGAUUAAACAAGACUGCCCAGAAGAGUCGAAACAAAGGUAGAGGGCGAAGAGAAAACAAAAGUUAUUCGCUUCAGGACACCAGUAUCAAAUGAUGGUGUGAAGCAAAUGACUUUUCAAGCACUAGAGUGCAGCAAAUGACUUUUCAAGCACUAGAGUGCUCUUUCUUUCUUGGAAGAAGCUGUCGUUGCAUUUCAUCUCGUCUCAUUUGAUCUAAUUUCAUUUGCAUUUCAUCUCAGUCUCAUUUCCACCCCGACGGUUUUCUAUCGAGUCCCGUCAUUUCCCUGUACCACGCCCGGGCAGACCCCGGGGAAGGCGUCGUAGGGAUCAGGGAGGGGCCCCCUUUACCCCCGAGGGGUUGUGGCCGGGGUAACCCCAUGGGGCCGGAAUCUUUUUCGAGGCCCGGAUCCCGGCCUCUACCUGGACUUUCCCAGAGUGGUCAAAGCCUUUUAAGGUCAUGUUUAGGACCUGAUCUAAUUUCAUUUGUGGUGCCUCUAAUUUCAUUGAGCAACUUAGUCAGACAUGGGACCAAGUCUUGGCAUCAUUAAAGCCACCAGAGGCUCAGUAGGGAAAGAAGUGGGCCCGACUCCUACCCAACCUCGAAACUUCUGCUCUAUUAAUGUUCAUCAUUUCUAUCUCGCCACUCACUUCACCCAAUUCCCAAAUGCAACCAUCCAGUAUCCACCACCACCAUGCAUCACAUCGAUCACGCGGCAUCAUGGUUUCACUGAUGCAGCCUCAUGAACCCCGUCCCGUUAUCAAAUAAAGGAGCAGUUAUUACAUAAACUUAAUGUAUGUAAUUUGUAUCAUCAUUAACCACUAUUUCACGUAACACGAGAUCCCCCCAUACUGAAAGUCGCAAAAUUUUCAUUGUCGAUUGCUCAACGAGUGUCCACAAACACUUGAUAACAAAAUCAUUUUUAAAUGAUGAUGAGAAAGAAAAAAAUUGUUACUUUCUCUUCAAUUUUGUGGUUGUCACCUAAAUUUGCUCUCUCAGAUAUAUAUCGGAUUAGAUUAGAUGGAAAUAGCAGGUGGCUAUUAUCGAAUAAUUGCAGACUUCAAGCUUCAAUUUGUCCCCGCCAAUAAUGAUUAUAUUUAUAGCAAAGCUCCUUGUUUUAUUUGGUCCGCAAGGUCAACAAAAAACAUACUUAUUGUUUUGUCCCAAGAAGACAGGAGCUACCUAAUUUCAAUAUGCCCACCAGCCAUUCAAAAGGUGGAAUUAUAUACACACACACUUAUUCAUACCUUAUUACUAUAAUGUGCAUAAAUGUUGCAUUAGCGGUACAAAAUAGCUAAAUCCCAAGAUUGCAGUUUCUGCUAUGGCAUCACAUCAAAAUAAAUAAUCAAUGUGUCCACAGAUCUUUGUUGCCUCUAUGCCUAACAAAGAUCACAGGAAAGAUUGCCUUAUACUUUCUGGAAGUCUAACAGAAUAAUAGCCCCACGGGCCACGACAAAAGGGUAAGCAGAAGCAGACAGGAUUGAUUAACCAUGCGAUUGGCUUAAUGGUUACAUAAUUGACACAUAAGGGAGAAUUGAGUGUCUGUAUUAUUUGAAUUUCUCAAACAACUAGAUGCAAAUGAAUUGGUUGUCGAUUAGAUAUUUCAACCAAGUUUUAAUCCGCUUCUUACCUAACUUAUAAAAAUAGUAGGGUACUUUAUGAAUUUAGAAUUACCUGGGCAAGGUCGUUUUUUCGUUGUCAAGAGAAAAAACAUUUAUGCUAGCAAAAUACCUUUUCCUUUGGAAAGUUACUAAAGAUAAGUAUAGUUAAGGAUAACCUUUUGUGGCUUUCUCUGUGGAAGAUUGGGAACUGUUGAUGUUUAAUGCUCAAAUUUUUCUCGUUAGGAGAAGCUUCCUAAGAAUCUGGCCAUUGAAAUCACAUGGCAGCUUAUGAAGAACCAAUGGUCCUUUCUCCACUGUGAUAAGUCUUUUUGGGGGUAAAAGAGAGAGAGAAGAAAUUUUGACAAAUUUGUGAUGGUCUAAUGUACAAUCAUUGAUGAGGCCACGAGCAUCAUAGUUGAAAUAUACCUGACCAUAGAGGGCACACGGCGGCUUCUGAGGAGCUUCCUAAUUGGCAUUGCGCAUGGCACACUUCAAAACUUUGACUUAAUGGCCCUUUCCCUAUCAUUGUAAAUCUUUUCGAUAUAUAUUGUGACAAAUGAACAGAUGUUCUUUGUGAUUCACUGAUGAGGCCACGAGCAUUGUAGUUGAGAUACAUGCGCGUGGCAUUUGCCUGAUGCUGAAUAAUCCUCAAAGAGAGGGCCACAGUCGAGCAGGUAUACAUGAAAUCUUUUGAAAAGGACGGUGGGUAUUAAACAGGAUUCAAACUAGAAAUUAGCCAUCUCAAGUAAGCUAAUUAGCACAAUGAACCCAACAAAAAUAAAGAGAAACGAUGCAGGAUAAUGCUAGGAUAAUACCACUAGUUUACGAAAUUGGUAAAGUGACACAACAAAUUUUUAAUUACGGUAGAUAUGACUCACUUUAUUAAUUUCAGUUGUAGAUCAAUCAAGUAUUUUUAUAUCAUAUUUACAUUAUUAAAAGCGUGAAAUUAAAAUGAAAAAUGUAUAUUUGCAACCAUGUAUGAUUAAUGUGAAUCUGAAUAUGUGGGUUUAGAUUUUUUUUAUAUUUAUUAUCGUGAUUUUUUUUUUUUUUUUUGGUGCCAAGGAUUGCCAAGUACAUAAAAGUUUACAUUUUAUUUAGACAAUUACGUAAAAUUAAGGAAAAAAAGGUUGAAGGUGGGAGCAGCAAAAGACGAGAGCGGCAUUAGAAGACUACUUUCCCUCAUCUAUGGCCAAUGAAUGGUUCAACUAAUCCCUUUUUAACGUAUUAGCUUAGAAUCGGGCUUACAAAAUUUUCCUUCCGGUAGGUCUUCUAGGAUUUUCGUGCACUUCUUGUGGGGGAUGAGAUCCUUUAUCUCUGUUUGUAUGCUCGUGACUCCGUAAUUAAUAUCUCAUUCAUCGCAACCGUUAAUCCAUGUGAAUAGGGAUAAUCAUAAUACUUCAGUUUUAAUAUAUUUACAAUUGAGAUCAUCCGCGAUAGAGUUAUUAAGCGGCCAACACUUGUUGGUUGUUACCACACCGUCAAUUUUCUUAGCCCGGAAUCCUUCCACAAUCCAAAAUAGUUUUGCUUUUAUUUAUUAAUUUUUUCCUGCAAAUCGAUUGAAUCACUAUGACAUCAUAUCUUAAAAAAAUGCCCAAUAUGGAGGAUUGUGCUUUCAAAAUGACCCGAGGAGUGGACUAGUUUUGGUGUGUGAACACUUCUUUCAGAUACCACUUGAUUGCUAGGUGAAAAAGGAAAAAACAUAACAUUAAUUGUUCAUUGGUCUCGAAAUCAAAUAAUAAAAUUUCAAGGCGGCAAGGUCAAAUAAGAUAGGCUUAUGUUUUAUAAGGAGAAUAGUGUGAUUACCUAACUACAGUCCGUCUAGUACGAGCAUUUUGAUAUAGAGAAGAGAUUUUUCCAUUAAUUUAACCAUCGGUGAAUGUCCACUAUAAGUUUCCAACUAAAUUGAAGCAGAGGCCAUCCUUCUUGCUCACAACCUCAGAAAAGGAUCUGGAGCUCCCAAACAUCAUCAACGAAAACGAUUGCAAAGUUAGUCAUGGAUGCUUUGCUCUACCCUCUCGCCCCUUGUCCUUGGGAGAUUCGGCCCCAGGUCUAUGCUUUCCUCUAACUCCAGGAAAGGCCAAGAUCGAGUGUAACCUGGUCCUCCCAUUUCUCCAACAAAUAAUGUCUUCUUGGAUGGCUCUUUAGAUGAUCACCAAAUGACAUUACUAUUCUAACAAAAAAAGAAAAACAAAAACAAAACCGUGUAUUAAGACAUUUAUUUAAUUGAAGAAUUAUGCGAUGUUUCAAACUUCUCUUAAUUGUUGCAUAUGAUCCAUUUUUUUAAAUGUUCUUUUGCAGUUUGUUGUAUCACUUGAUAUAUCACCCUAGUUUAUCAUUCUUAACGUUAUCUAUCUUUUAAUCAUCCCUACAAAUGGAGAGCGCUGGCUAACCUUGACUGCCGAUCGAUCUAAUACUCUACUCUUUCAUUUUUUUUCCAUGGCUUAAGUAGUUUAUACAUUAAAAUAUUCAUCGCAUUCUUGACGUUGGUUAAUGCAUAGCAAAAUCUAUCAUCCUUCCAACACAAAAUUGUACAUGAGAAAAUUCAUAAGAUUUUCACUUCAAUCGAAUGCUAUUCUAUAAGGUAGUUUACAUUAGGAGUUCGGAAAGGUGGCUUGAUUAUAGAAACAUCAGUAAAUGCCAUAAUUCUUUCAAAGUUUCAAUAUUAAAUGUUAUAUCUUCAAAGUCUUUAUUAUUUCCUAAAAUUGUUAUACUUAAAUGGGGCAAGAUUAAAUGUGAUUCACAAUGGUGACUAAAUCUUUCAUUUUAUCCUUGUUUUCACCGGACAUUUUAUUCCUUACUUAGGUUGAUAAUAUUGGUAAUCUAAUAAAUCCAAAUCUCAACAAGAAAAUGCUAUUCGAGUUCAUGAUGAAUCAUACUCAAGAUUUGUUCAAGUCAGAUUGGUGAUGUGUCACGUGGAUAGUCGACGAUAACUGGACUGUCACAUUAGUAAAUUUAGGCUAAAAUUGACCGAAAUGACUAUAAUGAAAACUUUGGAAAUUCAUUAGGAAAAUUGAAAAAUUUAGGAUUACAUUGGAAUCUGUACAAUAGCCUUCUUUAAAACUAAAUCUGUAAUUUUUUCCUUUAAAACAGUUUUAGCAAAGUGGGCAUCAUAUAACAGUUACGACAAUGAUAUCGUUUUUAUCCUAAUUUUUUUGGAUGAGCUUUUGUAAAUUUAGGAUCAUCCUGGUCUUUCUCCGCCUCGCAUGUCCAUCUGUUGUUUUAUUUAAACACGAAUAAGGUCCACAAUCCACUACAGGUCUUUAGAGGACAAUAAUAUUUGCUUUUCCUUUUGCUUUAUAUUUCAAAAGUGACAUUUACAUCGUGAAGCAUUUCUAGCUAGAGACGUGGUGCGUUUCAAAUGGACAUGCGACAUUUGAUUGGACAAACUUUUGUGAAUUUAGGACCAUCUUAGUCUUUCCGCAUCUUUGCAUGUUCAUCCGUUGUUUUAUUCGGACACAAAGUAGUGAAAGUCUUUCUAAUAAGGUCCACCCUCCACUAUAAUGUCUGCUUUUCCUUUUUCUGUUUUUCCAAAGUGACUUUAAUGUCACGAAUCAUUUUACAGCUAAUAAAGUGGAAACGUUUUACAUGUAAGAGGGUAAUACUCCACCACAUGUCCAUAGAGGCACAUGUCCAUAGAGGACAGGACAAUAAUGCCUUCCCCUUUUGCUGUCUUCCCAAAGUAACUGGGGCCUUUCACAUGGCAAUGUGACGUUCGAUGGAACGUGAAUAAGAAAAAGUAACUGUACUAACAAGGUCCAUCCUCCUACACAGGUCCUCAUAGGACAAUAUGCCACCUUCUGCUUUUGCUUUUUGCAAUAGUGACAAUGUAUGAUUGGACACGAAGAAGUUGAGUACAACCACGAUGUAUUUCAAUCAAAAUAACCACAACUUGUCGUUCAAAGGAACUGCCAUUAGGGUGCUCGUUAAUUAAUUAAUAAAAGUCUUAUUGUACUGAUUUUACCCCAGAAUAUGUAGGACCAGCUUGUUGGAAAUGGAUAUCUCAUUUUUAAGUAAAUUGAAAAAUAUACAUGGAUCUAAUAAUUGCCCUAGCUUUCGAAACAAUUGGAAUUUGACCCGUGCAAUUGUGUAGAAUUGAUUAAAAUUUACACUUCAACACUUACAUUUUGCUUUUUAUAAAAAAAUUUAUUAUUGUAGAAAAUAGCAUUUGCAAAAUAUAUUAUAAAUGUCAUGGUUACUUAGUUAAUACAAGAUAGAUAAAAUAAAUAAAUAAAAACAUGGCAAUACAAGGAAAUACAUAUAAGUCAAACUAAAAAUAUAUGUCAUUACAUUUAUCUUGAUUUUUGUUGCAAAAGAACAAAUGAAUAAUAACAAUAAAGAAGACAGAAAAGUAAAUUGGAAAUUGGAUUUAUGUAGGUCAAUAAUCCAAUUUGUGGGGAGAGUAGCAUUAAAUUUCACUAUAGAUCAAGUCAUGUUAUGAAAGUUAUAACAACACUUGAGAUAUUCAAAUACUCUCAAGUUUUUCAAUCCCCAAUUAUAUCAAAUAACUCACACAGUAUUUGCCUGCACAAUUUCUUGCGAAACAAUUACUAAAUCUCACUAAGGAAUUAUAGAAGCUUGACCAACAUUUUUAUAGCUAUCAAACACUCAGUGAUUAAUUCUCUCUGAAUAUAAGUAACGAACUUAUGCACAGCCUUGCAUGUUGAAGUUGAAGUAUUCACUGAACUUGUACGAAAAAGCACUCCACAAACAGCAUUAGGGGGGGGGGGGGGGGGGGGGGAAGGCCCCCGUGGGAGUGGCAAGUAUGGUCGUUACAAAUGAAGUUGAAGUAUUCACUACUUACUCAUAGGUCAUGACCCGAGCUACUUUGUAGGAGCCCAAAAAAAGACGUGGCAUUUGGUAACAAUGCAAUUAGUAAUUCUAAUUUCAUUUUGGCAUGACGUUUCUCGUGAUCUUCACUUUGGGACAAUGAUUUUGUAAUUCUAAUUAACAUGUUGCCUUCUAUCGUUCCCCCACUCAUACCAUUACCACGGAAGAGGCAUUGACCUGCUCUAUGACCUGAGGCUUGCAGGUCCAGCCUGCCUCCUUAAAACACAGUACCAACAAGUCCAUAUUCAGACCUACAUUGCUUAGAUUUAUAACUAACUUUCUAAGGCUCUGAAGUAGGAUGAAUAAGUACUCUCUUAUCAUUAUUAUGCUUUAUCAAAUAUUACAUGAUGACACAAAAUUUAUUCAAUCUGAAAUGACUCGAAGCAUUCAACAUAGAGGUAAAACUCCCCAUAAAAAGAUUUUAGGUGGUGAAUUUUUUGAGUGGGUUUCAACUUAGUUUUUAAGUUCUUUUCUACUUUAUGUGCGAUUUGGAGUUUCACAAACUCUCCCACUUAUAAUGCUAGUGUCCUCAUAAUUGUCAACUCAUAUUGGGCAGUGAUAUAUCCUAUUCUACCGAGAGUUGUACUUUUUCAAGCUCACACAUUAUGGCCAUCAUUCACCGCUUUGUUGGAUUAGUCAUCCAGUCCAUUCCCAAAUCAUACAUCUACAACAAAGAAUCUUGCUAAGAUUCAUUGUGACACGACGCGUUUAUUGUUCAUGUCCAUUGCAUGGAUUAGCCUAUGCUGACAGGCUUGAGUUAAACUAUUUAUUACUAUCAUGGGAAUAAAAAAAGAAGAAAGGUUUGGUCUAGAAGUGACCAUAAGAAUUGAGAUCAUAUUCCCAAAUCACAUAUGGCUUUAUUUGGACAGGAAUAAGGUCCUCAGUCCACCACAAGUCCUUGGAGGAUAAUAACGCCCGCUUCUCCUUUUGCUUUUCUUCUAGAGUAACCCUAAUGCCGUGAAUCAUUUGCAUCUCCAAACGUGGCACGUUUCACAUUGCUAUGCUUCGUUUGAUUGGAUGAACUUUUGUGAAAUUAGGACCAUCUUGGUCUUUCCACAUCUUGCGUGUCCAUUUGUUGUUUUAUUCGGACAUGAAGCAUCAAAGACUCAAUUAUAAGGUCCCCUUGUGUAGAAUUGAUCCCUUACACAAGCACGACAUAAUGUGGAUGUAAUUGCAUCAAUGGAAUAACUGGGGGAAUGAUGACUAACAACAUAACAGACAAGGAAUUUUGAACCACCGACAUGUGCUUUAAUACAAUGCUAGAAAUGAACAAGUAGAAUGCGGACAAUUUGUUGGAACUAUAACAAAACAAGUAGAAUGCGGACAAUUUGCUAAUACUUCAGAAGAGAUUCUUCUCAGAUUCUGAUUAUACCCAUGAUAAUUACCCGCCUCCUAAACAGCCAGUCAAGAAAUAGCAGAAACAAAUCUACUCACCCUGACUUUGCCAGCUAGCAACGCCAAAGUCCAGGGCUAUGCACUUUUGAUUCCAUGAAGCAGAAUAUGAAAAGUCAUCAAAAUGAACAAAGGGCAAAGAUUUCAUUGAGUGCUAUCCAGUCCACGAAAUGCCUUCAUUGCCGGAAUGGAAGGGUUGAAGCGCAAUAAAUCCAUUUCCCCCAUAGAUUUCAAUGUGUAUCACAGUAUGCUCAGAAAUUAGAAGAUUGUGAGUGUGGGAAUAAGUACUUUGCAUCGGUAAAUGCAGAAAGAAAGUUAAUACCAAGUUCAUUCCACUUCUGGUGAAUGCUGCAAAAGUUAUUUUUGCAUGUCAGAAUUAGAGAAAUAAGGGAAAUUAGUCAGGUAAAUUCCACUACUUAGUAAAUGUGUUCAAAUGGAGGUUCCAGACUAAAACAGGAAAGAGGAUUUAAAGCAUCUAACUGCCAUUCACAUGACAAGAACUUGUUUUAUCCAUCUGAAGUUCUGAGCUACACUUUUUCAAGGAGAUGAAACUUUCAAACAUUUUCAAACUUGUCUUUCAUAUUGAUUAUGUCCAGAAUUUAGAUUCAUCCAGUGGAUUGAACAUCAGGAUAAAACAGACACUUACUAAACAGGAAAGAUAACAUAUAUACAUACCUAUCCCUGUGAGUAAUUUGAGAACCAACUAAUCAUGAAAAAGUCCAGAUCUUAAGAACAGAGUUUGCAGUAGCAUGUCCCUUCUUCUCUACAACAAGGAGCAAUCUCACAUCCAAGGUCCCCUUCAGCAUCUUCUCCUAGGCUAAAUACCGGUGAGGCAAUGGUGAAGGAAAGGGUAUAUAGACCUUUCUAUAGGUCACUGGGUCGUACCAACAAACUUCACCCAUGGAAUUCCAAUGUAAUCUGAAAGGGAAGCAAGAUUUAGAGAUUUGAUGAAUGAGAGAGAGCACAGUGAUGACAAAAGAAUUGGUUGAGGAGUAAGAGAACUGCUAGAAUGCAAAAAUAAGCUGAGAAUUCCAAAUUCAAAUGCAACAGUCUGUUAAUAAGAUCCCAGAUUUUUAUUUCAUUUUUGCUGGAUCGAAGAUAUCAUGGGAAGCAG